This 290-nucleotide unclassified non-coding RNA is filed under the name Hevea brasiliensis (rubber tree). The record is from RNAcentral. Lineage: Eukaryota; Viridiplantae; Streptophyta; Magnoliopsida; Malpighiales; Euphorbiaceae.
UUCAGGAUUAGGAUUAGGUAUAUGCCCCUCCGACCAUGCUAAGCCUUUGUCCUUGUUCAGAGUUUAUGCAGGAAGCCCCGAAAAUGGGACCUUGAAGUUCAUGCUUUUGUUCGCCUAUGGUGUUGGGGGAGUUGAGAUUAUCGUUAUCCUUCUUGCCUGGUGUUUCUUGAAUAAGUCUCAGAAGGACUCCAAUGAAGCUACACAAAACUAUCAUCCUGCAGCAACUGGAUUUAAAAGAUUCACUUAUUCUGAGCUCAAAAAAUCAACCCGGAACUUCAGCCAGGAAAUUG